This 4562-nucleotide long non-coding RNA is filed under the name Sus scrofa (pig). Its description in RNAcentral is "lncRNA (ENSSSCG00000058390.1)". Lineage: Eukaryota; Metazoa; Chordata; Mammalia; Artiodactyla; Suidae. The record is from RNAcentral.
CAUAUGGAAGUUCCUGGGCCAGGAAUCAAAUCUGAGCUGCGGCUGUGACCUAUGCCAUAGCUGCAGCAACGCCAGAUCCUUAAUCCACUGCAGGGCCAGGGAUUGAACCUGUGCCUCUGCAAUGACCUGAGCCACUGCAGUCAGGUUCUUAAUCUAUUGCACCACAGCAGGAACUCUUCUUAAUCACACUCACCCACACAAUCAAAUCACCUUUUUCUCUGUCAUGAGCUUUACUCCAUUGCUAGGGACAACUGAGCUUCCCUUAGGUGAGUCAUGUGGCCUUGAUCUAAAAGGCCCCUCAAUCAUUUCAUGUCACUCAAAUCAGGGAGUUUGGCUUCAGUCAGGCUCAUUUGUUUGGCACAUGAGGCGGGGAAACAACAACUAUUUUCUCCAGCUGAGCUCUCGGUCUUUUUUUUUUUUCCAGGGCCUCACCUGUGGCAUAUGGAAGUUCUCAGGUUAGGGUCCAAUCAGAGCCAUAGCCACUGGCCUAUGCCACAGCCAUGUGGGACCUGAGCCACAGCUGGGACCUACACCACAGCCCAAGGCAAUGCUGACGGAUCCUUAACCCACUGAGCGAGGCCAGGGAUCGAACCCAUGUCCUCAUGGAUACUAGCCAGGUUCAUUAACCACUGAGCCAUGAUAGGAACUCCCCUAUUUAAAUGAAUCUUAUGAAUACUGGUCACUUUUGAAGCAGAUGGCCUUGCCUUGACAAUGGACAGAAGUUCAUGGUUAUGAAUGGAAAAAACAGAUUGCUGAGUAGUAUGAAUAAUGUGAUAUAAAUUAUACAAAAUUAGUGACCUUUUGGGGAUGGGGAGUUAAGGGUAGGGUUUGAAAUCCUUGAUGUUUUUUAUACCCUAUGACACUCCUGGAAUUUGUAGCCAUAAGAAUGUAUGACUUUUGUAAUGAAUAGAAAGUUUUAUAAGUUAUUUUAGGAAAAUAAAAGGGUGCAGAAAAGGGACCACACGAAUAAUCUCCCGCCUCCAGCUGUGGAGAAAUAGCCCUGUCCUGGGUCAGGUUCCCCCGAGGCAGAAUCUGAGGUGGGGCUUCACGUGUUGUGAUUUACUGAGGAACCGUCUCAGGAGAAACCGAACGCACAUGAGACAGGAAGGACAGGAAAAAGGAAGUUGGCGUGGAUGCAGCUCCUGGGAAGUCUGGCCUGACCCUUGGGGAGCUCAGGCACAUAAAUGACAGCAGAGUUUGGCCCUCCCUGAAGCAGGGGUGUCCUCGUCUCCCCCUCAGUCCUUAGCAAUAAGUAAUCUCGUGUGUGCAUGUGCCAUGGGGGUGGUAACUCAUGCCCCUCCAGGCAAGCUGCUCUGCCCAACCAAACUCAGGCUCCAGGAGAGGCUGCAAAUGUGAGCUGAAUCUUUCACACCUGCCACAGCUGGGGUGGGACUGCUGGUGGCACAAGGCAGCCCAGCAGAAGCUGGGCCCCGGCCCCUCGCCCAGCGAACGGGGAAUUGAACUGAAACUGGCUUCUUUAUAAGCAACCUUAUCAGCUGUAGAUGGAUUCUUGUGAAAUGCCUUUUUUGUGUGUGGCUAUGGAAAAGUACCGGCUACAGGACAUUUUAAAGGCUAAAAUAUUCAAAUGAGGAGAUUAAGAGUUAAAAAAAAAUGGCUUGGGAGAAUCCAAUCAGACUAAAAGAAAUUUUUUUUUUAAUUUCACAGACUUCUUUUUUUAAAUUGAAGUAUAGUUGAUUUACAAUGUUGGUAGCAAGUGUCCAGCAUGGUGACUCAGGUAUGCACAUACAAAUUCUCUUUCAGAUUCUGUCCCCUUAUAGGUCAUUAUAAAAUAUAUAGUUUCCUGGGCUAUCUAGUAGGUACGGUUGGUUAUUUGUUUUAUAUAUAGUAGUGUGUAUCUGUUAAUCCCAGCCUCCUAAGUGAUCCCUCCCCCCUUUCCCUUUUGGUAACCAUGAAUUUUUCUAUGUUUGUGGGUCUGUUUCGGUUUUAUAAAUAAGUUCAUUUUUAUCGUUAUUUUAGAUCCCACAUAUAAAUGAUAUCAUGUGAUAUUUGUCUUUCUCUGGCUUACUUCACUUCUAUAAUAACCUCUAGGUCCAUCCAUGUUGCUGCAAAUGGCAUUAUUUAGUUCUUUUUAAUGGCCGAGUAAUAUCCUAUUGUAUAUAUGUGCCACAUCUUCUUUAUCCGUUCAUCUGUCAAUGGACAUUUAGGUUGCUUCCAUGUCUUGGCGACUGUAAUACUUGUACUGCUUUGUGCUGCAAUGAACAUUGGGGUGCAGGUAUCUUUGAAUUGGUACAGCCACUAUGGAGAACAGUAUGGAGGUUCCUUUAAAAACUAAAAAUAGAGUUCCCAUAUGAUCUUGCAAUCCCACUCCUGGGCAUAUAUCCAAAGAAAAGUAUAAUCCAGAUGCAAGAUUCUUGCAAUUGGGAAAAUCAUUAGAAGGAGUCAGCACUGCCAGUCAGGGCAGAGCUGUUCAGCAGAGGCAGUGAAUGUUCUAACCUGGGUAUCCAUGGUUUCCUGUGGGUGGGGGUGUUUUUUUGGUAAACUUUAUGGACAAUGUGUAUCUUAUCAUUGAUUAUCUCUCCCUUGCUGCUUGAGUGGCUGAGAACAUUCAAAGCCAGAUUUGAACCUCAGACUAAGUAACCCAGGGACUGUGGCAAAUUAAUAAAAAGCAGGGACUGAUCUUAGAGGGGUGAACUGUAAGGUCGAACAUUUGCUGGGCUGCCUUGACAUCUGAGCUUCACAGAGGCCCAAAGGCCUAGCUCUGAGUUCCCUGCUUUCAGAUCGGCCCCCUGCCCAGCUCCCCACCCCGCUAAUUCCCCUAUCAGUCAGACUGGCCACACCCCACCCUGUCCUCAACCUAACGGGUUUCACCUCCUUCCAGCCUGUGAAAUUACUGAGACAAACCCAUUACAUCCUCCUGCAGAACCAGAGGCUACCCCACCCUCUUAUUACUAUAAACAUGACCGCGAUAGCCCUGGUGGUUCACUCCGUUCCUGCCUGCAACUCCAUGAGGCCCCACACAGCAUGUCACAUCCCCCACCCCAACCCCCCAGGCUCUGAGUCUAUGUGACUCAUAAAAUGCUGUCAAUCGCAUCUGUUCAGGGUCAGGUGCUGUGUGUUUGGCCACACCGUUUAGGGUGGGGAACCCCCUCGCUCCCCAAUGGAAGGAAUAAGAGGUGAUCAGAAUAGAGGGACUUCGUGUCAUGAGGCUUUACAGGAGCCUGACUGGAACGUGCCAUCCGUGUGAACCCUCAGUACCACACCCGGUGUACAAACCUGCAGAAACUACCAGUUGCCUUGUCUUUGCCGAUGAAGUGGGGCUAUACUGCCAUACAAUGCAGAAAAGAAAGUUUUAAACUUUAAAAGCGAACUGACCUAACAGAGGAGGAGUUCUAGGGAAACAAUAGAAGAUGUAUUUGAAAACACUCACCUCCUAUUCCUCGUUUGCUAAAUAGCAAAAUAAUGUCUCCCAAGGUAUCCGAGAUAACUUGGCUGCUCUGAUACCCGCUGACCUGAAACCCAACUAUUGAAAUUCCAUCUCUGUUUUCUUCUUAGUUCCAUACUCACAAAAAGAAAAAUUACUCCUAGAAUCAAAAAGCAAGAUCGUCUGUUAAUUCAUUUUUCUAGAACCUGCACUGCAAACUCAUCCAUCCACCUGUUCUAUGGAGCAGAAUCUGCCUAGAGCAGGCCCCUGAUAGCUGUCGGCCCCUGUGGACAAAGUCCACACCGUGGUAAUCCCACUGGUUUAAGAACAGGCAGAGUGUCCCAAGGCCUGGAGGAUUCUCUCCCCAGGGUACUCAGGGAAGGCUCUACGGAACGGACUGUACUGACUUCAUAGCCUCCACCUAAAAAUGUCCAUAAAGAGAGGGAGCACGAGAUUUGGUUACACGAACUGGAAGCUACUGACCACUUUGCUUCUUCAUGCUAAACCAGACAGAAAUGACAUGAAAUACUGGAGGUGACAUCAUAUUGCCUCAUGGUCACACGAGAUGGGACAGUCCUAAGUCAGUCCGUGCCUCCUAUGUGGCCCUUGAACCCACGAAAUCAAAAUCGGCCGGGGGGGGGGGCGGUCCACGCAAAUCAGAAGACCUGGGGCUGUGGUUCUGCAUUUUAAGCAAACCCACGGGUAGUUCUGAUGUGUGCUGAGGUCUGAGAACCUCUAGUGCAUCUGACCCCUGUGAAAUGAUCCCACUCUCCUGUGUCAACAGCCAUCUGGACAGACUGGGGCAAAGAAUCGGAUUGAGAUGGCUCCGAGCAUGGUGCCCACUGUAGCAACUUCAGUGACUUCCGUGUAUACGUUCUCUCUUCUGCCAUCUUUUCUCAGAAGAGAACAACUGAUUAUCCUUCCAAGUCAUAUGGAUCCAUUCUUUGCGUUUUCAUAACGUCUGGAAACAUCAGCUGUGACCUUAUUCUUUCCCUGCAAUACCCCUGCUUUACACAGUCCCGCAGAGGGGGAGGGGAGCUGUUUCGGGUCAGACUUGGGGCCUUUGGUCUGCAGGUAUAGGCACCCCACUUAGUGUCAGCACAGAAUGUCACAGCCCUGCCAGCAACCACAGCUGUGAGCCUGCCACGCUCAUCCUCUGUCAAAAGCCCAGAUGAGGGAA